This is a long non-coding RNA of Plodia interpunctella (Indianmeal moth), 370 nucleotides long. RefSeq lists it as uncharacterized. Lineage: Eukaryota; Metazoa; Arthropoda; Insecta; Lepidoptera; Pyralidae. The record is from RefSeq and is a predicted model, not a curated record. The transcript is spliced from 3 exons.
UAAGUAGGUGGAAGUCUAAGCGAUAACACCCUAACCUUACGGCUUCCUGGAAACAAAAUAUUAUCACCACCCUAAAUAAAAUUGCAGCAACCAGUUUAGAAAACAGCGAGCAAGCGUGAGGGUCUCACAUACAGGUCCUCCAGCAUCAUAGCGCGGCCCUCCCACGAGGAAUAUGUGGGGUAGUACAAUGCAUAGCCCAGGAUGGCCCGGUCCGACGUGGCCUCUGCUACUUUACAGUGAAAUGCUGGAGGCUGGAUCCCGAAGCCAUGAGUUUCCAAAUCUGGUAUAGGUGCGCAGCGUGGCGAGUGUUGCGAUAUACUGAGCAAUAGCCACCGGCCCGCAGCACUGCAGAUUACCUAUAAGUAUUGAA